This 77-nucleotide transfer RNA is filed under the name Propionibacteriales bacterium. RNAcentral describes it as "tRNA-Leu". It matches the Rfam family "tRNA". Rfam says of the family: Transfer RNA (tRNA) molecules are approximately 80 nucleotides in length. Their secondary structure includes four short double-helical elements and three loops (D, anti-codon, and T loops). Further hydrogen bonds mediate the characteristic L-shaped molecular structure. tRNAs have two regions of fundamental functional importance: the anti-codon, which is responsible for specific mRNA codon recognition, and the 3' end, to which the tRNAs corresponding amino acid is attached (by aminoacyl-tRNA synthetases). tRNAs cope with the degeneracy of the genetic code in two manners: having more than one tRNA (with a specific anti-codon) for a particular amino acid; and 'wobble' base-pairing, i.e. permitting non-standard base-pairing at the 3rd anti-codon position. The record is from RNAcentral. Lineage: Bacteria; Bacillati; Actinomycetota; Actinomycetes; Propionibacteriales.
GCGGCCGUGGCCCAAUUGGCAGAGGCGUGCGGUUUAGGUCCGCAUUGUUGUGAGUUCGAGUCUCACCGGCCGCACCA